This 649-nucleotide long non-coding RNA is filed under the name Gossypium barbadense (sea-island cotton). RNAcentral describes it as "long non-coding RNA (GBAR_LNC023107)". The record is from RNAcentral. Lineage: Eukaryota; Viridiplantae; Streptophyta; Magnoliopsida; Malvales; Malvaceae.
UCAUAUUUGUUAAAACUUGAAUUGCAUAUGCCUCUCUUGAUAAAUUUAGAUCAUAUGAUUAAAAAAACCAUAUAAUCCAUAAACUAGUCUAACAAGUUUGUACAUAAUACAAUGGUGCAUAAAUUUUCUUUUUAAGAAAUAUAUAUAUACUUACAUUUGGACGAGUACAUGAUAAAUAGUGUUAUUGUUGAAGGAGCAAUCACAUACAACAUUAUUAGCAUAAUAGCCAACCAUGGCGUUGACUGCAUGGAUCAAUACCAAAGUCCCACCCUGUCUUCCCCAAUGUUUUACCAAUGCUUUUCAAAGCUUCCACCGUAACAAAAAACCAAUAAGAGAAAUUUACUAGAAAAAUUCACCAAAUUAAGGUUGGAAGCUUAAUAUUAUGAGUUACCUUCGUCAUUGUAGCUCCAUCUGUAAGCGUUGUAAGGCAACAAACUAUGAAUAUUGACCCCAAAACAUGUCGAAGAAACAACAUAUUAAAGGAAUAUAUAUAUUUUUGGAUUGAUACGAAACUGGGUUUUCAUAAAUAUAUUGGACUAUGAGAGUUGGAAUUUGACUAUAUAUGAAAGUUGGGAAAAGGAAUUUCUAAAAGGAAGUUGGAAAUUUCUUUUAGAUGAAAAAUGAAAAGCAAGAUGAAAAUGAUUUGGCU